Macaca mulatta (Rhesus monkey) is the source of this 862-nucleotide non-coding RNA. The record is from RefSeq and is a predicted model, not a curated record. Lineage: Eukaryota; Metazoa; Chordata; Mammalia; Primates; Cercopithecidae.
GAGUGAAAAAAAAAAAGGGGGGGCCUUGUUAAAACAAGAAAAAAGAAGAAGAAAAAAGAAAUCUUGGACUGAGAAAAUCUGCAAAUAAGCACAUUUGGCUUUUUCCACUGGAACAUUUGAAAGUCAAUUUUACAUCAGAGUGGAUCCACAUUGAAUAUUCCUGGCGGUUAUUUCCAACCUUUCCAUCAUUAUUUAAAGUGUAUCUUUCCAAAAAUUCUCUUUAGUCUAAUAAUAUUAGCUUUGCCAAUAAGUGGUUUCAUUUAUUAUACUCCAAUAGUGCUUUUUCUCUAUGUUAUUCGCUAUAUUAUACAAAAAAUUAUCUAUGUUUUUGUUAUUUAAAAUUAUACAAAUGGUACAUCAAGAGAAUAUUCAACAUUGUAUGUUUUGAAGAGAUGAUUGGUGAUCAGCAAUGUUUUGUGCCUUGUAGGGGUUAUUGUGGCUUUAUCUGAUUCACGUGACUUCUAACUAUUAUCUUAUUUCUCUCCUGGAUGCAGAUACAUAUAUAUACAGGAUCUAGUAAGAUUGCUGUUGUGAAAAUGUAUUCUGGGUAUGUGGCCACAAUGUGAGUUGUAGGAUAGAGCAACCGGUGGAACAAGAUAACUGCUUCCCCCUGAAACAGCCCUAUUUAGGAAUGCUGACCAGAUUAUAGGGAACUCAACCAGUCCCUUUAAGUAGAAAGUAAAUAGAUUAGGAAAACAGCCAGGAGGUUUGACACACCACAGUGACUUUUUCCCCCUUUCCCUUUUAUUUGCAUGGUGUAAGAGAAUAGACAGCAUGCAUUGCAAGAUCUGCCUUGUCUUGCUGCCACCCUGGACUGCCUCACAUGUAAGUUCCCCCUGAAUAAAUCUUUGAUGACCUCCCA